This is a long non-coding RNA of Carassius auratus (goldfish), 520 nucleotides long. RefSeq lists it as uncharacterized. The record is from RefSeq and is a predicted model, not a curated record. Lineage: Eukaryota; Metazoa; Chordata; Actinopteri; Cypriniformes; Cyprinidae. The transcript is spliced from 3 exons.
GAAAAUUAAUUCAUUGAGUCCGAGGUUUCUUGGCCACUGCUGAUGUGAUGUGAUUUUAUGGGCUGUUAUCUGAUUCUUGCAGUGGGGCUUGAGUAAGUCGCUGUCUUUUCAGGGAUCACUCAACAAAAUAACACUGCAGAGCAUUCGAGACAGACUCUGACAGUGCUGACUCUGAUGAAAUGGACUGCCCAGAUUUUCUCGGCAUGAGAUGCCAAUGCGACAUACAAGAAGACAUCAAACUGGAGAUGUCUUCACAUCCUCACAGCAUGAGACAAGUGGUGAACAUCAUCAUUGCUGUGGAAAGACUGAAGCACAUCAAAGAAAUCUCUCCUGGCAAGAUUUGUGAAGAUUCGCUGCUCAGCUUCUUCUUGGAGAAUGUGAUCGAAGGUACCAUUAGCAAACUUUUAUGCAACUGAAACUGGCUUCUGGUGGUUUGAUAGCUGGUCAAGAUGGUUAGAGCUGGAAGGACCACCUUAACCAUAAUGUUAUGUUGCUGGUCAGUUUGACCCAGAUUGUCAGA